CCUACGGGUGGCAGCAGUAGGGAAUAUUGCUCAAUGGGGGAAACCCUGAAGCAGCAACGCCGCGUGGAGGAUGAAGGUUUUCGGAUUGUAAACUCCUUUUGUUAGAGAAGAUAAUGACGGUAUCUAACGAAUAAGCACCGGCUAACUCAGUGCCAGCAGCCGCGGUAAUACGGAGGGUGCAAGCGUUACUCGGGAUCACUGGGCGUAAAGAGCGCGUAGGCGGGAUAGCAAGUCAGAUGUGAAAUCCUAUGGCUUAACCUUAGAACUGCAUUUGAAACUGUUAUUCUAGAGUAUGGGAGAGGUAUGUGGAAUUCUUGGUGUAGGGGUGAAAUGCGUAGAGAUCAAGAGGAAUACUCAUUGCGAAGGCGACCUGCUAGAACAUAACUGACGCUGAUGCGCGAAAGCGUGGGGAGCAAACAGGAUUAGAUACCCUAGUAGUC
Molecule: ribosomal RNA, 440 nt
Filed under: uncultured bacterium
Lineage: Bacteria
Description: partial 16S ribosomal RNA
Rfam family: Bacterial small subunit ribosomal RNA
Source: RNAcentral